CCUACGGGCGGCAGCAGUGAGGAAUAUUGGUCAAUGGGCGCGAGCCUGAACCAGCCAAGUAGCGUGAAGGAUGACUGCCCUACGGGUUGUAAACUUCUUUUAUAAAGGAAUAAAGUGAGGCACGUGUGCCUCUUUGUAUGUACUUUAUGAAUAAGGAUCGGCGAACUCCGUGCCAGCAGCCGCGGUAAUACGGAGGAUCCGAGCGUUAUCCGGAUUUAUUGGGUUUAAAGGGAGCGUAGAUGGGUUGUUAAGUCAGUUGUGAAAGUUUGCGGCUCAACCGUAAAAUUGCAAUUGAUACUGGCAGUCUUGAGUACAGGUGAGGUAGGCGGAAUUCGUGGUGUAGCGGUGAAAUGCGUAGAUAUCACGAAGAACACCGAUGGCGAAGGCAGCUUACUAAACUGCCACUGACAUUGAUGCUCGAAGGUGUGGGUAUCAAACGGGAUUAGAUACCCGGGUAGUC
Molecule: ribosomal RNA, 460 nt
Filed under: uncultured bacterium
Lineage: Bacteria
Description: partial 16S ribosomal RNA
Rfam family: Bacterial small subunit ribosomal RNA
Source: RNAcentral